GGAAGGACGGUAUAGAUUUGACACAUCAUAAUUAUUAUGCUAUGUAAUUAUCACAAUCAGGAAACGUGCCACCCAGUCACGGGUGGAAAUGAAGGACGUUGUGGCCCUCGUCGAGUGUCCCAAGAUGUGGGAGAUGUUUAGAAGCGUGGCCAACGACUCGGCUGUGCACCACCUGCUACAGGUACAUAUCAUAUUAACUCAGUACUUUUCCUCACCUUAACCCCUACACCCCUACAGAUCGUGGCAGGCAUGGAGUGGGCAGGCAUGGAGUGGGAGAACAAGCGGCAGUACACGAACGGUGUUCAAGGAGCACAAGAUGCUGUCGACGUAGACAGGCCAUGUUCGUUCUGGCCCUAGUCGGCAUAUGACAAGUUCACCCAGAGACGUCUUCAACAAGUUUGGAUUGAAAACCGACUAGGGCCAGCAGCCGGACCUGGCGCACAGCCAAUCCUCAAUACUCUGUGAAGGAAGGUUCCCUCACGAGGUCGACCCAACGGUCCUGUCUGACUCUACCUCACACUUUGCUGAACCUGCUAAGAAGAAGGCAAAGAGGAAAUCACCACCACCACCGCCACGCUGAGGAGCUCCAAAGACAAAGAAGACCUGGGAGACAACAAGACGAAAGUACACUGACGACGACACGGCGACAAUUUCUCUCUCUACUUCGACAGCUGGAGACCAAAACAUACAAGAACUUAGGACAAGCAGCCGUUAUUCAUUCAUCUUAUUUAUCUCCGUUAUUCAUUCAUAAUACUUGGAUUCUGUGCCUCCGGUUCACGGCUUCUAAGUGGCACACAUUCUCUUCACAGCCUUUAGAAAUUAACCUAACCAAAUAACCCAAAUACAUUCCCUAACCUGAUCCUCACUUCUGGUCGGCACUAUAGUACAGAGCCUAACCCUUAUAAACAAGAAUUAUCUCACAAAUCUUGUCUCUUGACCAACAAUUGCAACACGACGUGCUCUAAUUAGAAUUACGAGAAUAUUUGUUAAGAGAAGAGUACAAGACUGUUCCUUUCUUCUUUCCUAUAUAUAGGGUUAUAGUUGUCAUGUAGUGUUAGAUAAAGAUUAUUGGAUGUCCACCACAACCACAGCCCCGCGGACUACGAGAAGUUGUAUCACGAGGUUAGGGAAUGUGCUAGGGUUGUUAAAAGGUGUGUCACCUAGAAGGUGAGGUGCGGGGCAGGUUGUCAACGAUCAACGACGACAUGAGUUGGCGAACGGUUCAGGUUUGUCUCUGUUACAGCGUUCGAUUCCAUAGGGUGUGAUUGCAUCAAUACUCCAACUUGUGGAGGCUGAGACGACUAUCAUUGUUGUAACAUAAUAAUCAAUAGGACGGGACGGGACGGAAACAACCAGUAGGUACCCUAACCCCUGAGCCCAGUAGAGUAGUUCAGAGAAGGCAUACGUUCCAACACGACGCCAGGUCUUUGGCUGUGCGAACAGUUUCUCCCCAUGGAAAAGAGGAAGAAAAGGAUUCAAGACAAAGUGUCUUGCAAUUAUGUGCUGCCAUUGUGUUGUUGUGUUACCGUUAAAGUGUUAGUGUUAUAAAGUGUGAUACAAACCUCAAAAUGAGAAUCCUCUACCUUAACCUAUUAACCCUGAGGUGUCUGCAUUAAACAGUAGGGAAAGGGGACCAAGGACCCUAUCAUCGACCACUCUCCAAGGAUUCUUACAGGCUAACACCAUCACAUGAUUAAACCAAUAAGUUACCAAGGUUACUUUGAGUCCCUUAGCGACCCAAAACAAGUAGGAACAUCACAGUCGACAUUUAAACACAUGAUUGCUAUUCUGACUCAUCACAUCACCCUCCACCCAGAUUCCCUCCACCCAGAUUACUGAGGUGUCUACGAAAGAAAGGGUCUUCCAGCAUCGAAGUGCAAACUCGCAGUACAUAUGUUGGUUUGAUUCGGGGGGCGUCCCAAAACCAGGUGUACUGACGCAGGUUUUCUUGACACAGAUGCUGGGGAUUCCCAAAACCACCGCUGUUUGAACCACCCACACCCACAUUGAGCUCAAUGUAUCUAAGGAAAUCAAUAUUAAUUUGUACUUCAAUUUAAUGGGGCGUGGUCUCUAAGUCACGUGCGUGUGCUAAUUAUAGUAGGCCACACCCAAGUUGAAGUAAUUAUUUGAAAAGAAAUGUAGCUAAAAUUAAAAGUAGCUAGCUAGCUAGUGUUUGUUGUAGCAUUAGAGUAAAUUAGAGUAAAACAGAUUAAGCUUAUAGCCAAGAGGACAUGUUAAAAAGCUGGAUCUACGAUGUAAGCAAGUUGUAGUUGCAUGUGGGCCUGGUACCAUGGUACUCAAGUAUGCUACCAGCUGCAUUGACCGGACAAAAAGGUGAGUCUCCAAUUUGUUGUUACUUUGAUUGCAUAGCUGUUAGUCCUAUAAAAUCCAUGAGAGCUUUGCAAUUGUACCUGUACAUGCUGGAGUACAUUCGCUCUUGACUUCGAAUAUUCGUGAUCGUUUCCGUGAUUCAAAAAACAGAUACGACUACAGAUAAUAUGACUUCUGCCGAGCCUUCUGCUUACUCCACUGACAUUGGCUGGAGGGUUGUUUGGCAGAGAAUAGGAAUGGGUCUCACUUAUAAAGAGAUUGCCUACAGGCUUCAGAUUGCAGUUGGUACAGCUCACAGAUUGUAUGAAUCAACUGGUGAUGUUGCUCCCUUGAAGAGAGCUGAAAGAUAUGAGUUGAGGAAGCUAGAUAAUUUACAUGAGAUUUAUAUCAUUGGAUUGAUUUGUGAGAAUCCAGCAAUAUACCUUCACGAAGUCUAUUUUUGAAGUAACGGGAGUAAGAGUGUGUGUGCAAGGUAAUCCAUCGAAACAGGAAGAAGCUGACCAAAGCAAAGAUCACUUGAACAUAGAGCAGCAUUCAUGGCUAAUAUGUUGCAGUAUCCUCGAGAUUUUUUUGUAUGGGUGGAUGAAACUGGUACAGACAGAAGAGAUCAGCUGCGCAAGUUUGGGUAUGCUAUAAGAGCUGUUUGUACACAACUUUUUACACGUGGUGGUUGCUAUGUCAUCUGAGGGUGUUCAUCUGAGGGUGUUGAGGCUUAUGAGGCUUAUGAACUAACUUCUUCUGGUUCAAACAAUGGUGAAAAAUUUGUAGACUUUGUGAGAGAAGCAGUUACUCAACCAUUCCCUGACAGACAAUGAUUAUGGAUAACUGCUCAAUCCACCACGUACAGGUAUCUAUUUGAUAGCUAUUUGAAAGAAUAUGAAGAUGAAGAUUUAAUACAGUCCCUAGCCCUGUGCAUAUCAUACAGGAAGGUCUAAACAGUGUGACAAGUUCAAAGUGCAAUGGUUGGAUAGUGGAUACAGCACAUAGACUUGACUCCGCAUGGCCCAUCAUAUAUACAUACAUUAACAGUAACAUACAUACAUUAACAGUAACAGUCAACAGUCAAUACUCAAUACACGCACAAUACACGCACGCCACUCUUCAAAUUGUACUCAACAUUUUUUUCUUCUGAAGCUCUUUGUACAGAUAUAAUCUUCGCUGAGGAAAGCCAAUCUUCUGCGGCCAUUUCUCAGUCUCAACCAUGUGUGUCUGGCCGUGUAGCAAGUGUUUCUGUGCAGGCUAGAUCUAGAUGUCUAGUUAACUCUAGGCCUAUAUUCUUAGAUAGUCCCCCACUUUUAACCUCCACACGUACACCACCCGUACCCCUCCCAUGGCCCAGCAAUUGAUUGAUUGCCUUGUAUGUGUGCGGUGGUGGUGGUGAUGGUGAUUCUGCUACAUACGUAUUGAAGAUCAUUAAUCCAAAGAACAAAGGAGGUGAAGUACUGGUCAACGACAUCGAAGUUUUUACAUCAGUAGACGCUCUAAAGAGUAAACUGUGUCAUCUCAGAGGUGCAUUACCAUGUACAAAAACGAUUUUAGCAUAUAACUUUUGAGUUGUUUAUUUUAAUGUCAUUUUUAUCCUGUCAUUCAAUGCUGUAAUCAAAUUUGACAAUCUAUGAAUAUAAAUUAGUCAGAUGAUUGUCAUGUGACUAAGGUACAAGUAACUGGUGGUCAUGAAGUUUUUUACCUCAGGAAAAUGUCUACAUUUAAUCACUUUUGCUUUUUGCAUGUUACACAUCAACACAAUAACCUGUACUGCAAAACUGCAAAACUACCAGGGCGCAUGCUGCUAGUGAAUAGCAUACUCUGGUGUGGUAAGAAAGGGUGUCAAAAUCAAUAAUUAAACCUAAUUCAACGUUCCUAAUUCUUCUUACAUGGAUAUUUACCUCUUGCGCUCUAGCUGGCUGGGAUUCUAUAAAGUAGAUAUAUGCCUCUAAUUCUUUAGAUCACACCGUUCUAGCACAGGUCCCGAGCACAACUUUAACAUACUAGGAGAAAAUUAUGCGGUCAAAGGUUAAAUACGGCACGUGAUUCUCCGCGCAGAAUACAAAGGCUGGCACCUGGCAUUGCUAUUACACCAAUUGUGCUAUUACACCAAUUGUUCAAGUUCAAGUGUUGUCAAGAUUCUCAAACCUCAAAACCUCAUAAGCAGCCACCAAGCCGUUCCAGCAGAGAUAAAUUCCAGCAGAGAUAAAAUUCAACUGUGGGUAUGCCCGGUCCGCCAUUAGAGACAGGAAACAAUGGUGACCAAAGCGACCAAAGCGUUCCAAGAAUUAUUCCCAGACUACGGUGUGGACCCCGAUAUGUAUGGCCACAGAGAAUCCCUAUUUGAAAGGAACAGAAAGAAAAUGUCUACUAUGUUCACUAAAUGGAAGUGCAGGGAGAAACGAAUGGAGUAUCUCCAAACAUUUAGCAUUUUCAAAUGGAAGCCAGCUGUCUAAUUCCUCGCAAAAACGCCACACCUUGUCCAAUUGUAAAGAAUGUGCGAUUCUACACACGACACUACAGAACGCCUAUCCAGGGAAGAAAUCUGAGUUGUCAAAGGACGUAGCAACUACGCUAAGUGCAGCAAUCAACGGGAAGGAAGAAACACAUGCUACAAGAGAGAUUUUGGCUGAUCUCCAACCAUUAUUUGAAAAACAAUAUGGCCACUCAUUCACAAAUUACCUGGCUCACAGCUACAAGCUAAGCCAAAAAAAAAGAAGAGAUAGAGCUGACUCUCUAACUGUGCUUGCAGAAGGAAACUCUAUGCAAAGCUAUAAACGAUUACGACUGUCACAGUCGUUUGAGACCCCACAAGCUAAACGGACCAGGGUGGAAAGUAGUGCACCAAAGCUGAAAACAUUCACCCUCAUUCGAAAAUGCAACAUGGGACAAGGAAAAUGUACUCGAGGACUUAAGAUCAUUUCCGAACGACACAAAAAUUAAGUGGAGCAAGUUUGCUAGAGAAAACAAUGGGCAGGUAGUUAAGGAGUUUGCUGAAAGAAACAGUCGUCAACUAGAUAGUCGCCAGUCCGGAACAAGAAAAAUGCCCGGGAAAGAUAUUUCCGUUCCAUCUCAUUUAACUCCUGCAAAAAUAAAAGAAGAUUGGACAAAGAUGAUAACAACAGGCGAGCUAACACUAGGCGAACAAUGCCACCUAUGCACAAUAACAAAAUACAACACAUCAAAUGGUACUGUAACUAAAAGCGAAAGCACAGUUUACGGUAGAAAAAUUCCUCUGACAGACAUUCGACAAAAGCUAAUACGGAAAUAUAUGCACUUGCAUACGGAUAGAGAAAUGUCUGCUAUUCAAUUGACCGAGGAAUUGACGGCAAAAAAACAUCAGACUACCACAUGAUACACAUGAUACAAGCCUUCAAAAUCUAAGAGAAAAACUAAAAAAAUCUGAACGAACUCGUACAAUUGCCGUAUGGCAUGAUCACGCAACAAUACUAGGCCACGGAUACAUUCUUGUGACAGCAAAAAUAUUAUAUGACACGGCAGUAUUUAAACCAGACGCAAAAAUACCAACAACUUCUCAAGUCAAAAAUAUUCAGGCGUUUGUUGAGGAGCCUGAGGUCCAUAUAUUAGCAAUGUCUUCAUCGAGUACAGAAGACCAAGUGGGGUUGAUAACGGACAGAUUAACUUGUAUUCAGACCACACACUCACCACUUACAUGUAGCAAUGGAGUGCAAGUACAAGACCAACUGAUGUUCUUUUAUGGAGAUAAGCCUGCUAUGGAGAUAAGCCUGCAGCACAAUUUGAAAGAGGAUGUCAGCAAGGGGGAGGAUUUCCUGCGGUUGUUCUGCUCAACGCAUGGACGACCUAGGGCACUGCUUUACCUGAAAGUGGAAGGAUCUACAAGACAUACAAACAACAGCAACAAAGGGAAAAAGCAGGCUGGUGUAGUAAGACCUUGUAGUAAGACCUCUUGAUGCAAGGAGGAAAUUAAGGACGAACUACGUAACCGAGAUGUAUACACCAGUGCAACUACAAAGAAAGACCUACAACAAACACUUCAUCAGGCU
Molecule: long non-coding RNA, 6341 nt
Organism: Halichondria panicea
Lineage: Eukaryota; Metazoa; Porifera; Demospongiae; Suberitida; Halichondriidae
Exons: 5
Source: RefSeq, a predicted model, not a curated record